GUAGGGCACCCUAUAAGGGGGCCGCCUCCCUCCCGGCCUUGCCUAGGACGACUACAGUUCCCUGAAUGCCCCUCUUCUCCUCUUGGGUGUUAUUGCCCCUUUUCCCGUUCGGGACGCGGUAGAAGCCAGCGAGAGUACCAGGCUUAGGGUCCUCUGUGUCCUUCCCCGGGGCAGAGACGAGGCGGUGACUUGCCACUUGGUCGCUGGGCCCGGGAAGGAGCGUAAAGGCCGCCGUCCUUCCUGUCCGGUUCACCUCACCCUUCCUUCCUGUCCUACUCUUCCCGCGGCCGCCUGGACGGCUCCGGGACUGACUGUCUGGGGCAGGGGUGACGGUCGCGGCCGCCCGGGCUGUGGCGAGGCCACGGCCCUCGGGGCGGCGGUAGCGGCGUCAGCGCUGGGGAAGAGGAGGGAAAUGGCGUCGGAGCUGGAGCCGGGGGUACAAGCCAUCGACCGGAGUUUGCUGGAAUAUUCGCCUGAGGAUACCGCGGGGACAUGGCUACAAGCAACUGACCUCACCAGAGAAGUGUACCAGCAUUUAGCCCACUAUGUACCCAAAAUAUACUGCAGGGGUCCCAACCCUUUUCCACAGAAAGAAGACAUGCUGGCACAGCAUGUUUUGUUGGGACCAAUGGAAUGGUACCUUUGUGGUGAAGAUCCUGCGUUUGGAUUUUCAAAACUUGAACAAACAAACAAACUUCUCAUCUUUGUGGUCGUGUUUUUAAAGUAGGAGAGCCUACGUACUCUUGCAGAGACCUGAGAUCUGAUCCGUGCUGCAGGCCUGGAUCUGCUUUAUCUCUGCUUUCAUUAAAACCACAUGGAGCGUCUUUCUGGAGUGUCAAUGUUAUGUGACAACAUGGCUACAAGCAACUGACCUCACCAGAGAAGUGUACCAGCAUUUAGCCCACUAUGUACCCAAAAUAUACUGCAGGGGUCCCAACCCUUUUCCACAGAAAGAAGACAUGCUGGCACAGCAUGUUUUGUUGGGACCAAUGGAAUGGUACCUUUGUGGUGAAGAUCCUGUGUUUGGAUUUUCAAAACUUGAACAAACAAACAAACCUUCUCAUCUUUGUGGUCGUGUUUUUAAAGUAGGAGAGCCUACGUACUCUUGCAGGAUCCUCUUGUGCAUUUAUCAGAAGACAUGAUAGCAAGAACUUAUAACAUUUUUGCUAUAAUGUUUUGGUACGCAGUAGAGAUAUUAACCUGGGAAAAAGAAAAUGAAUUGCCAGGAGACUUAGAGAUGGUAGAAAUACCAGUCGGCAGACAAAGCCACUCAAAGUUCAAGUUAUGCAUUCAUCUAUUGUUGCACACCAGAAUUUUGGUUUGAAAGUUUUAUCUUGGCUGGGAAGUAUUAUUGGAUAUUCAGAUGGUCUUCGCCGGAUUUUGUGUCAAGUUGGUUUACAAGAAGGGCCAGAUGGUGAAAACUCUUCUCUUAUGGAUAGACUAAUGCUUAGUGAUUCCAAACUGUGGAAAGAACUAUGAGUGUUUGCAGAGUGAUUAUGUGACAGAUGACCACGACAGAGAGUUUUCAGUCGCAGACCUCUCAGUACAGAUAUUCACAGUUCCUUCACUUUACUUUAAAUGUUUCACAGCACUGCCUUCUUGCCUCCAUGGUUUCUGAUGAAAAGUCAGCAGUUAAUCUUACUGGAUUUCCCUUGCACAUAAUUAGCUGCUUGGCCCUCCUAUCAGGAAGAUCAACCUGUGGCAAAUGGGAAAGGUGGAGACCUCACCAGGUAAGGAUUUUUUGUCUCUCUUUCUUCAUUAUGCAUUCCCAUGUGUCUUAGGGAGCAUGACCUGACUUUCUCUUAUCUCAGGGAUGUUCUGUUUAUCUAAGCAGAGAAUCAGGACUGCUACCCCAUUCCUACUUCCUUCAACAGACCUGGAUCAGGACACACGCUAACAGCCACACCUCCUGGCCCAACUGACUCUGCAGAUUAACUUUACUUGAAGCUGUACUCCAAAGCAACCCUGCUGCUGACUCUUGUACUCGGUCUGAUUAGUGCUUCGAC
RNA transcript from Choloepus didactylus (southern two-toed sloth), 2006 nucleotides. It is a transcript of the gene named E3 ubiquitin-protein ligase UBR2-like, with no coding region annotated. The transcript has 11 exons. The record is from RefSeq and is a predicted model, not a curated record. NCBI's taxonomy places the organism in Eukaryota, Metazoa, Chordata, Mammalia, Pilosa, Megalonychidae.